Carcharodon carcharias (great white shark) is the source of this 137-nucleotide small nucleolar RNA. RefSeq annotates it as small nucleolar RNA SNORA42/SNORA80 family. The transcript has a single exon. Lineage: Eukaryota; Metazoa; Chordata; Chondrichthyes; Lamniformes; Lamnidae. The record is from RefSeq and is a predicted model, not a curated record.
GCAUGGCAUGAUUUAUGGUGGGAUCCAUCCCAUGAUCUCUUCAUAGUGUACUCCAUGCAAAAUCAAAUCACUGCCCCAAACCAUUGACUGGCCUGCAUCCUCCAUAGGCCUGCUUCACUGAUGUGGGCAGCACAAAG